Molecule: ribosomal RNA, 253 nt
Filed under: uncultured bacterium
Lineage: Bacteria
Description: partial 16S ribosomal RNA
Rfam family: Bacterial small subunit ribosomal RNA
Source: RNAcentral
UACGUAGGGUGCGAGCGUUGUCCGGAAUUAUUGGGCGUAAAGAGCUCGUAGGCGGCUUGUCGCGUCGGAUGUGAAAGCCCGGGGCUUAACCCCGGGUCUGCAUUCGAUACGGGCAGGCUAGAGUUCGGUAGGGGAGAUCGGAAUUCCUGGUGUAGCGGUGAAAUGCGCAGAUAUCAGGAGGAACACCGGUGGCGAAGGCGGAUCUCUGGGCCUUACCUGACGCUGAGGCGCGAAAGCUAGGGGAGCGAACAGG